GCUUACGACCACACCGGUCUGAGUACGCCUGAUCUCGUCUGAUCUCGGAAGCUAAGCAGGGUCGUGCCUGGUUAGUACUUGGAUGGGAGACCGCCUGGGAAUACCAGGUGCUGUAAGCU
This 119-nucleotide ribosomal RNA is filed under the name Oncorhynchus kisutch (coho salmon). The record is from RNAcentral. Lineage: Eukaryota; Metazoa; Chordata; Actinopteri; Salmoniformes; Salmonidae.